UAAGGAGUGUGUAACAACUCACCUGCCGAAUGAAGUAGCCCUGAAAAUGGAUGACGCUUAAGCGGGUAGCCGAUACUACGCCGUCUAAAAAAUUUGAUUUUAGAUGAGUAGGGGGGCGUGGUGAUCGUAUCGAAGCACUGCGUGCAGACGUGUGUGGAACGGUCACUAGUGCAGAUCUUGGUGGUAGUAGCAAAUAUUCAAGUGAGAACCUUGAAGGGCGAAGCGGGGAAGGGUUCCAUGCGAACAUUGAUUGGGCAUGGGUGAGUCGUACCUAAGCCGAGUGGCAAUUGCUUACUCACGCGGCGAAAGGGAAGCGGGUUGAAAUUCCCGCACACGGAUGUGGAAGCGGCGACGCAUUACUGGGGCGGUGACGUUGGCAGUGGCGCUGGGCAGAGUUGUCUUUUCUGUUUAACCGCCUGACGCUUGCACUGUGGAAUCCGCUUGUCGGGAGAAACAGGCAAGGCACGGGUAGAGCGCCGGGCUUUUUCCGGCGUCCAGCUCGCCACUGACGGCCCUUGAAAAACUGUCCUCAGAUAUUGAACUCCACGCCGUGGCGUACCGAUAACCGCAUCAGGUCCCCCAGGUG
RNAcentral lists this ribosomal RNA (586 nucleotides) under Hydropuntia sp. PEL-2012. RNAcentral's name for it is "eukaryotic LSU rRNA". It matches the Rfam family "Eukaryotic large subunit ribosomal RNA", at positions 1272 to 1874 of the family's 3401-position model. The record is from RNAcentral. Lineage: Eukaryota; Rhodophyta; Florideophyceae; Gracilariales; Gracilariaceae.